GCUGCCCGCGGGGGCCACGCGCCGGGAGCUGCAGGGGCGGGCGCGGGGGCGGCGGCUGGGUGAGGACGCAGGCCUGAGUCAGAGCUGCGGCCCGCGAAGCGAGCCCGGCCUGAGGGCAGCGGCGGGCACUUGGGGGCCACCCCGCCCCGGGCAGCGCCCGCCGGCUCUCGGCUCAGUCCGGCUCAUUCCUGCCUGCUGCCGCCUCGUGCUCCGGAGCUGGGGAACCGGGGGGCGGGCAGGAGAGGCCUCGCUCGCCCAGGACCUGCUCGGGGACCCCACCCGCCUUGGUGAGCGAUCGUCGAGUCCCUAUCACAGGCCUCCUUGGGGUGAGGAAACAGCUGGGAACUAACGAAAACUCGAGAUCCCAGCAGGGCAGAUUGGCCCUCCACCCCAGGGCCGUGUCCCUGCCUGCAGCCUGAGCCUGGAUUCCAUUUCCAGGCCGACUGGCAACUUGGAAUCAGCUGCGUCCAGUUGGAGCUGAGCUGGUUGGGGCCGGAUGGGACCACCGAUUCCCGAGCGGGGCCUGCACGAGGGCCCGCCCAGCGCCCUCUAGACCAUGCAGGGGCCUGUAGCCCAGCUACGCCUGCGCAGACGGAGUCCCGCACCUUUCUCCAAUCAUCAGUCACCUUUCCCCGCGCUCCCCGCGCCUCAGGUGGCCCUGCUUCUUUAUUCGUUAUCGCGUAAAUACCCCGAGCCCCUUCCCUUCCCUUCCGGGACGCAGAGCUGAGAUUUGCCCUCCUAGCUCCUGGCUUGGCCGCCUCGCCAACAGACCCGGGGGUCUCAGCGUUUGGCUUGCUGUGCAUCAGCCAAGAGGAACCUGGUUGGGUACCAGCUGCACGGGGACACUGCGCUCGGGGCCGCUGACUCUGCGCCACCUGAACCAGUUUGUGGUUUCGGAAACAUCAGGGCUCCCUGCUCCGAGCUGUUCACUGACACCUGGAGUGCGUGGUCCCUGCGGUUUCUGUGGCUCUUCUUUCGGGACAAGCAGUGUUCUUACAGGCGCCUCUUCUCAGGGAGUGUGACCAGGGCUGUUAACUGAGCACUUGACCAGCAUCUGUAAACUCGUCGAUCUGUGCUGAAAUCUGGUGAUGUAACCGUCUUCAGGAUUAGCGGGGUCUGAGGCCCAGAGGGAAGCAGGAGGCCGCUGUACGCUGGUGGGGACAGGCCUCUGCUCGGUGUCAGGGGGACGAGGACCUGGGAGACAUGCGGUACGUCCGGUGUGAUGCUCCUGUCACGCCGAUGGGACGUGACACCGGGAACGGAGCGGUGAGGCCCCCGACAGCCAGGGCGGCGCAGCCCGUCUGCAGAGUCCCACCUGCUUCCCUGAAGCCUCUGCACAUCCCCAGGAGAGCGGACCUUCCCUCUCUGUCCAGGACGCGAAUAGAGGCACGUUUCCCCUGCCCGGUGAUGGAAGGGAGUCCAGGAGCCGCGCAGGCUGCUUUCGGCGCUAAAGCUAUGAAGAGGAAGAAGCUACAGAGACAGCCUGGGAGCAUCAGGAAAAGCUUUACAGGCCUUAGUGAGGAGGGGAGCUUGCCAGGUGGGAAUGGGAGUGCCCUCGUACAAGGAGCAGCGAGGAAACCCGUGUGACCGCUGGGAAUGAGGGGGUGAGAUAAAUUGCUCUUGCAAAAGUCUGGAGGACACUGAGAAAAGGAAGAGACCGGAGGCCCGGAGGCAACUAGAAGCCUGUUCAGAUCUCCGGGAGGGACAGGAGUCCGCCGGCGGUGACGGUGACGGGGAUGGAGCAGCGUGAACGUCUGCGCAGCCGAGUGAACGAAGCAGGGUGUAAGGAGGGCCAUAUUCUGAAUACUUUGCGAUCAAGAUUUUGUUCCAACUUAUGAAACUCUUCUGUACUUCUGGGAUUUUACAGAUUCUAAAUUAUUUCAUAUCAACACUCAUUCCACCUGUUGUACAUGAGGAGAAAAGGUCAGUUCUACAGUAGACAAUCAGCGUAUCAGUCACUCGUGUUGAGAGUCAAGGUGUACCCACACGGCAGCAGCUGGGUCGCUGGGAAGUUGCCACAGGUCAAGGCUUUAGAGACGGCACAGAAAGCAGCUGGAAAACAAGGGUGUCUGUGAAGGGAGCGGGGGCCGCUCCAUCCGGCAGCUGACACAGCCAGACCCGUGUGCCGGGCUCCAGUCACCAGCGCAGGGACGUCAGUUAAAUUUAUAUGUAAGCUUGUUGAGGAAAACAACUUCCAAACAAACACAAUGCAAACUAGUGACAGCAUCCAAUACAGGCCGCUGAGGUGGUGCACUUCGGGCGCCCAAGCCCUCGCCAACCCCUGCGACUCUGAACCAUCCACCCGGGGCUCCAACCGUCCGGGGGCAGAAUGACUCAGGCUUUCAGGCUACAGACGCAAGAAAAGGGGCCCUGAGAUGACACCCACCAAUCACCCAAAGGUAGGAAAAAACCCGGAGCGAGGUAAGAGCACAUAUCGUAUAAAAACAAAAUCUCCAAAAAUGUAAGGGGUCUUUUAUCACUUUUAUCACCAACCCUGGCAAAAAUUCCCUAAUUCGUGGAGACACGGAGCACACAGGGCUCCGGUGUUAACGACGGGAGGCUUGCUGCGCCCCACAUCUGUCUGUCUUUCAAAGGAUAUGAUUCGUAGUCCAGUGUCUGUGUGAGCACGCCAGUCAGAACAAACUCUGCAUUGUGAACGUCUGAAAGGAGUGAAAACAAAAACCGUUAAACAAAUGCACUGCUGUGUGUGCACCGACACACUCUCAAUACAGAGCAAGAGGAAUAAACCGUACCUAUUCCUCUGGCAAAAUAUUCUCGACACAAGUGAAGGUCAUUUUCACAGGAUAUUAAAAUUAUUUCUGACAAACUCUAAUGAAAAGAAAAUCAUUGGUUACUAAACAACGGCUCGUAUACGUGACGAUGAUGAAUUCAACAGCGUAUUUUACUUCUGUCCACCUUAUUUUGCUUAUGUUCCAUGAGUUUCCGGAAAGACGGCUGUUUAGACAGUACUUUCCCUCCUGCACAUUCCACAAUCGCUUUCAUAGUUGAAAGACUCGGGCAGAUUCCAGGAGUGAUGUAAAAAUAUUUCGCCUAAAAAUAAAAUGAAAAUAUGGGUAUUAUGUUUUUUAAAUUGAAUUUUUAGUGUACGUAAUUUCUCAUUCUACCCUGGGAUUUUUGACAGAACGUCUGAUUUCAUGGGGAUACACGUACUAGCCUCUGCUAGUCCCAACCUGAAGUGGGCCUGGGAGACUCCAGGCGUGUAAAUUCGGAAAUAACUUCAGCACUUUCAUAUGUUAGGUACGACCUAUACUUAUUGAUAGCAACUUACAUUCUUACAAUGUAAGCAACUUACAAUUACAUUUUAGGAACUUACAUUCCUAAAAGACAUGAAGAAGUACUCUGCGGUAAAAGCAAGAAUAGGGAUGUUUUCUCAAUUUCUGUAAAAUUCUAAACUGUAAAGCUCAAACAGACAGGAAAUGAUUUUGCUGGUUAAAAUUUUCUAACACCCUUGCUCCUAAGUGUACCCAAAAUACUAUUUUGUUUUAAUAUUUAGAAAAAUCAGAUUAUCUUAGGUAAAAUACUCUUAACUCAGUAUUGCAAAUCAUUUCUGAUUCCUAAAUUGGCUCCUUAAGAAGGAUAAAAUAUCUUUAUUAAUUUACUAAGCCACUGUUUGAUACAAAGACAGUUUUCCAGAGUGUUCUAUCUUAUCUAACCGAUAUUUAAAUAUUCUAGUCUAGAAUUAUUAGGCACAGAUUCAAUUAAUAUAUUCCCAAGAAUGGUCUCCAUUCUCUAGCUGAGUAUACAUUUAAUGAGAAUAGUAUUAAGUAAUGUAAGUUGUUAAAAGCAAAAAAAUCAAUUUAAAUGUCUCCUACCUAUUCAUACACAUAACUCUUUGAAGCGGGUAUCUGUAAUGCAUACCUCUAAUCUAUUUAUUUAACUUUGUAUGGAUUCUUUUAGCUGUGGUAAACAGCAGGACCCUGCAGGUGCCGAAGACCUCCAGAAACACCGCGUGCGAGGAGGACCGCCCGUGCAGUGGGGAUGGGGGCCCGGCUCCCCGGAGGCCCUCGCUGUCGCCCACAGCUGUAGCAGCUGUCGCGUCCGGGGGCCUCAUCUCACUUCCCUUCCAAGCGUACCUUGAAGAGCGGAGACACGUGUGCCCUCCUCAAGGACUCCUCCAGACUGAAGGAGAAAAGCACCUCGGCCUCAGCGUCUCGGAGAAGGUAGUUCUGCUCAUCUGGAAAAGAGAACAGCCCACUGUGCCAACAGUGCACGGCGCCCGGGACGCACAGUGCCACCCGCUCCAGGCCGCCCCCAGGCAGGGAUCUAGUUCCCUGACCAGAGAUCGCACCUGGGCCCCCUGCAUUGGGAGCACGGAGUCUUAACCACCGGACCACCAGGGAAGUCCCUGAAGUGAUAUAUCUGAAAUGUUUAAAGCUGUCAGUCGGGCCCUGAGGGCGUCAGAGCCCAGUCGGGGCUGCAGUGCCGGGGGCAGCGGUGGCCGGCGUGGGGCUGACUACAUACAGUGCAGCUGAUCAAGUCAGUUA
Balaenoptera acutorostrata (minke whale) is the source of this 4505-nucleotide long non-coding RNA. RefSeq lists it as uncharacterized. The record is from RefSeq and is a predicted model, not a curated record. NCBI's taxonomy places the organism in Eukaryota, Metazoa, Chordata, Mammalia, Artiodactyla, Balaenopteridae. The transcript is spliced from 11 exons.